Magallana angulata is the source of this 2516-nucleotide long non-coding RNA. RefSeq lists it as uncharacterized. The transcript is spliced from 3 exons. NCBI's taxonomy places the organism in Eukaryota, Metazoa, Mollusca, Bivalvia, Ostreida, Ostreidae. The record is from RefSeq and is a predicted model, not a curated record.
UCCCAAGAUGCAAUUUUCCAAGAUUUAGCGGGUUCUGAUUGGUCAGUAUUGGCGCACUUUAUGAUUCCGAGCGAAGGUUAAAAUGGACAAGAAGGUGCUGAUGUAAAAUGGAGAAUUGAGAAGCAUUAAUAGCCUCUACAACAAGGAGAUAAUGCAGAAAGGAAGAAUUCAUGUCAAGCAUUGACAGCAAACAAAGUCAAUGUUUCCGGUGAUUAGUUGCAUCCUCUGUUCGGUGAUUCGGGUGAAUGUUUUGACCAGCUGGACGAUGUGAACGCAAGAUAAAUAGACAGACAUAAAGUACAGCCCAGUGAAAGGAACAAGUUCAUCGCAAGAGGAAGAAUUUUAAUGCUACCACUGUCCAGAACUACUAAGUCUGCUGUAGCCAUGAUGUGAUCAUAUGAGUGCUUCACCGGUCUGGACAAUGCUCGAAAGUCCCCCAAAAAGGCCUAUUUCCAUAAACUACGACUCGGGUUAUAUCAACAACAGCCAAGGACACUCCUUAUUGAUUCGAAUGGACACAUCUCUACGACCCGACUAAACCUCUGCAGAACAAGACUUUUUAACUGUAAAGUAUUCUCAUUUCAAAAAACUUUUAAACUAUAAAAGUACUUUUUUUAUAUGAUCAAAUACCAGUAUAUUACAAUGUCUGUCUGUAAGCUAGAAUCUUAGAAAAUCACAUGGUUUGACUUAUUAAAUGAUUGAUUAGACCUUGCAGAUAUUAACUUUCAUUUUCUUAAAUAAUUUGUUAUAUUUGCAAAUAUUGCAUAAAAUAUUAGACUCCAUGUAACAUAUAUCCUCACACCUCCAAGUUGAUAAGUGUUAACUACUUUUUUUUUCCAUUUUCUUUGUUUAAACAUUUAUUGAUAACUUAGUUUUUAUUUGCAGCAAUAUAUGAAAAAUUAAGAAACCAAUCUUAAAUGUAAAAACACUGCAUUAGGAGAUGAAUGCAUGGGUCAUAAAAAUGAUAAAAUACACCAAACAAUAUUCAAUUAUGUCGUAUAUGAAAAUAUAUAAAGACAACAUAUACCCCAUGUAUUACAAUUUUUAUAUAACAAAAUUACUUGAAUGGAAAGUUGUUUCCAUGUGGGUUUUAUUUCAAUCUGUGUUAUGUAACUAAUAUAUAAUUGGAAUUAGCUUUUAUAUCAUAAGUAAAAUGCUGGUAUUGAUGAGAAUUGUAAGGUGAAUGAUCUGUGUGAUACUUUGUAUUUUAUACAUUCAUGCUACAAAAAGCAAGUACAUGUACAUGUAGUAAUACUUGUCAUAUAUAAACAAUGUAUAUUUUACUUCAUGUCUUGGAUUUAAAAAUAUUAAUGUAGGUAAAGUAGUGAAAUGUAGGAAGGUAAACCGUGUGUAAAGAAGAAUAUUCAUCAGGAAUGAAGUGUGUUGCAAUCAGCAUAAUUAAUUAAAUGUGUACAUCAUAUUUUUGCACAUGAUUUGACAGACUGCUCCAUUGUUAGCUUUUUAUUGGCCAACAAGCUUUUCAUAUCUCCCUCUGGAUCAUCUAUUAAAUACUGACAGGCUUAUGAUAUUAAAAUCUGAUCAGUUGGUACAUCAUGGGUGGAAAUGAAAAGUUCACUUUGGACUUAAUGGAUUAUCAAAAAAAUGAUAUCAAAUCCUGUUCUAUUGUAAAACAUUAGAUUAUAUUACUAACAAAGAAAAGGUUUAUCCCAACUUGUAAGUGGGUCACUUUGACCUCAUUUUAGAAUUUAUUGACAUAUUCAAAUCAAAUCUGGGUCAUACCUCUAUAGUCAACUACUAUCUUGUAGUGUAUUUUUUUUUUAAAGAUGGAUACUUUAGACUUUUCAAAAAUAUUUUAUGGUGUACAUAUUCAUUGUAGUUCAAAACAAAUUGAGACAAGUGUACCAUGUUCAUGUAACAGUGAAGUUUUCUUUGUUUAUUCAUGUACGUGCAGUUAUUUUGUAAAUUGCAUUCAUAUUUUUAAAAAAAGUAAGAUCUUUGUUGCAUUUUUAAAGGGAGAUUUUAUAGGCAUUUAAUCGAGAUGAAAAAAAUACAAAUGUAAAGAUUUCUAUGGGAGUUUUUUUUCUUGUGCAGUUUUAUCAUUUUUUAAAUAAAAGUCCCUAAUAAGGGAAUUGCCAUAUGGAUGUUUCUCCAUUAUUGUAUCUUGGCUGUAUUUUAUUUAUUAUUGGAAACAAUUUCAGAUUUUUGAACAAAAUAAAUUUGGAACUGUUUGAAAUUGUUUUGUUUUUACAUAAAGUAGAAACCUUGCUCAGCUUUUGUGAAAGCAAAAAUAUAAAAAGUUUCAGUAAGUUUCAGUUGCGGAAACCCUUUGUAAACAAUAUGUUUCCCAAUUGUAUAUGGAGGUUGAAACUAUGCAGAAACUUCAAGUUUCAGUAAGUUUCCGUCGCGGAAACCAUUUGUAAACAAUAUGUAUCCCAAACGUAUAUGGAGAUUGAAACUAUGCAGAAACUUCAAGUUUCAGUAAGUUUCCGUUGCGGAAACCAUUUGGAUUCAUGGACAGCCUAAGUUUCAGCACUGCGGAAACUUAAUGAAACUUG